GACGAACGCUGGCGGCGUGCCUAAUACAUGCAAGUCGAGCGGACGAACCGUAAGCUUUCGUUCGUUUCGUUAGCGGCGGACGGGUGAGUAACACGUGGGCAACCUGCCCUGUAGACGGGGAGAACGACGAAAAAUCGGUGCUAAUACCGCAUAACACGACAUGUCUCAUAAAGCAUCGUUGAAACACAGCUCACGCUGUUGCUACAGGCUGGGUCCGCGUCGCAUUAGCUAGUUGGUGAGGUAACGGCACACCAAGGCGACGAUGCGUAGCCGGCCUGAGAGGGUGAUCGGCCACACUGGAACUGAGACACGGUCCAGACUCCUACGGGAGGCAGCAGUGAGGAAUCUUCCACAAUGGACGAAAGUCUGACGGAGCAAUGCCGCGUGGGUGAAGAAGGCCUUCGGGUUGUAAAGCUCUGUUGUUAGGGAAGAAAAGGUAAAGCAGUAAAUGGCGUUAUCGUGACGGUACCUAAAGAGAAAGCCACGGCUAACUACGUG
RNAcentral lists this ribosomal RNA (498 nucleotides) under uncultured bacterium. RNAcentral describes it as "partial 16S ribosomal RNA". It matches the Rfam family "Bacterial small subunit ribosomal RNA", at positions 28 to 507 of the family's 1533-position model. The record is from RNAcentral.